CUGGCGGCGUGCUUAACACAUGCAAGUCGAGCGGUAAGGCCUCCUUCGGGGGGUACACGAGCGGCGAACGGGUGAGUAACACGUGAGUAAUCUGCCCUCCACUCUGGGAUAAGCCUCGGAAACGGGGUCUAAUACCGGAUAUGACAUCUGCUCGCAUGGGCUGGGUGUGGAAAGUUUUUUCGGUGGGGGAUGUGCUCGCGGCCUAUCAGCUUGUUGGUGGGGUAAUGGCCUACCAAGGCUUUGACGGGUAGCCGGCCUGAGAGGGUGACCGGUCACACUGGGACUGAGACACGGCCCAGACUCCUACGGGAGGCAGCAGUGGGGAAUAUUGGACAAUGGGCGGAAGCCUGAUCCAGCAACGCCGCGUGAGGGAUGACGGCCUUCGGGUUGUAAACCUCUUUCAGUACCGACGAAGCGUGAGUGACGGUAGGUACAGAAGAAGCACCGGCCAACUACGUGCCAGCAGCCGCGGUAAUACGUAGGGUGCGAGCGUUGUCCGGAAUUAUUGGGCGUAAAGGGCUCGUAGGCGGUUUGUCGCGUCGGGAGUGAAAACAUCGGGCUUAACUCGGUGCUUGCUUUCGAUACGGGCAGACUAGAGGCAUGCAGGGGAGAAUGGAAUUCCUGGUGUAGCGGUGAAAUGCGCAGAUAUCAGGAGGAACACCGGUGGCGAAGGCGGUUCUCUGGGCAUGUCCUGACGCUGAGGAGCGAAAGUGUGGGGAGCGAACAGGAUUAGAUACCCUGGUAGUCCACACCGUAAACGUUGGGCGCUAGGUGUGGGAUCCUUUCCACGGGUUCCGUGCCGUAGCUNACGCAUUAAGCGCCCCGCCUGGGGAGUACGGCCGCAAGGCU
RNAcentral lists this ribosomal RNA (849 nucleotides) under Nocardioides sp. cont-4-06. RNAcentral describes it as "bacterial SSU rRNA". It matches the Rfam family "Bacterial small subunit ribosomal RNA", at positions 36 to 895 of the family's 1533-position model. The record is from RNAcentral. Lineage: Bacteria; Bacillati; Actinomycetota; Actinomycetes; Propionibacteriales; Nocardioidaceae.